GGACCCGCACAAGUAGUGGAGCAUGUGGUUUAAUUCGAAGAUACGCGCAGAACCUUACCAACACUUGACAUGUUCGUCGCGACUCUAAGAGAUUAGAGUUUUCGGUUCGGCCGGACGAAACACAGGUGCUGCAUGGCUGUCGUCAGCUCGUGUCGUGAGAUGUUGGGUUAAGUCCCGCAACGAGCGCAACCCUCACUUUUAGUUGCCAUCAUUUAGUUGGGCACUCUGAAAGAACUGCCAGUGAUAAGCUGGAGGAAGGUGGGGAUGACGUCAAGUCCUCAUGGCCCUUAUGUCCAGGGCUGCACGCAUGCUACAAUGGCAAGUACAACGAGUCGCAAUACCGCGAGGUGGAGCAAAUCUCUUAAAGCUUGUCUCAGUUCGGAUAGGAGUCUGCAACUCGACUCCUUGAAGUUGGAGUCGCUAGUAAUCG
Molecule: ribosomal RNA, 430 nt
Filed under: uncultured bacterium
Lineage: Bacteria
Description: bacterial SSU rRNA
Rfam family: Bacterial small subunit ribosomal RNA
Source: RNAcentral